RNAcentral lists this ribosomal RNA (411 nucleotides) under Macaca hecki (Heck's macaque). RNAcentral describes it as "partial 12S ribosomal RNA". It matches the Rfam family "Bacterial small subunit ribosomal RNA", at positions 925 to 1522 of the family's 1533-position model. Lineage: Eukaryota; Metazoa; Chordata; Mammalia; Primates; Cercopithecidae. The record is from RNAcentral.
CCCUAGAGGAGCCUGUUCCAUAAUCGAUAAACCCCGAUCCACCUCACCCUCCCUUGCUUAGCCUAUAUACCGCCAUCUUCAGCAAACCCUGACAAAGGUUACAAAGUGAGCACAAACGCCCUACCGCCGCAAAAACGUUAGGUCAAGGUGUAGCCCAUGAGAGGGUAAAAAUGGGCUACAUUUUCUACAUCAGAAAACUCCACGAAAACUCUCAUGAAAUCUGAGGGUCCAAGGAGGAUUUAGCAGUAAAUUAAGAAUAGAGUGCUUAAUUGAACCAGGCCAUAAAGCGCGUACACACCGCCCGUCACUCCCCUCAAAUAUAUUUAAGGAACACCUUAACUAAACGCCCUAAUACUUAUAUAGAGGGGAUAAGUCGUAACAUGGUAAGUGUACUGGAAGGUGCACUUGGAC